Molecule: ribosomal RNA, 253 nt
Filed under: uncultured bacterium
Lineage: Bacteria
Description: partial 16S ribosomal RNA
Rfam family: Bacterial small subunit ribosomal RNA
Source: RNAcentral
UACGUAGGGACCGAGCGUUGUCCGGAAUCAUUGGGCGUAAAGAGCGUGUAGGCGGCCUUUUAAGUCCUGCGUGAAAUCCUGCGGCUCAACCGCAGACGGUCGUGGGAAACUGGCAGGCUAGAGUGCGGGAGGGGAGGCUGGAAUUCCUGGUGUAGCGGUGAAAUGCGCAGAUAUCAGGAGGAGCACCGGUGGCGAAGGCGGGUCGCUGGGCCGAUAUUGACGCUGAGGAGCGAAAGCGUGGGGAGCGAACAGG